This is a long non-coding RNA of Poecile atricapillus (Black-capped chickadee), 416 nucleotides long. RefSeq lists it as uncharacterized. The transcript has 3 exons. NCBI's taxonomy places the organism in Eukaryota, Metazoa, Chordata, Aves, Passeriformes, Paridae. The record is from RefSeq and is a predicted model, not a curated record.
UUCGGUGUCUGAGGCACCCCUGGGUGAGGUUCAUCAGCUCUCAGACCUCCAGGAGCAGAGGGAAGGGAAGCAUCUCUCCAAGAGGAUCCACGUGAGUGGCAGUGAGGCCAUCCCAGGAUGUGGGGAGCAUUCCCUGCUGGAUGGGUUUAGGAGAUGCCAGCCCACCACCAAUCCAGCAGCACCAAUCCCAAGGAUUUUCCUCAUAAAUUGGAUUAAUUAAUUCUGUCCAGGCCUGCCAACAUUAGCACCUGGAUCCACACCUUGAUUUUUCUUCUCAGAUGCUCCGGAGUUUCCCCUUGCUCCAGCCAGGGGGCUCUGCCAGGGACCCCCAGCACCGGAGCCAGCCCCUGCCGUGAGGAUGCACUCACGUUUCCCGGGAAGGAGCGAUGGGAUGCAGGAUGCUGCAGCUCCGAGGA